UACGUAGGUCCCGAGCGUUGUCCGGAUUUAUUGGGCGUAAAGCGAGCGCAGGUGGUUUAUUAAGUCUGGUGUAAAAGGCAGUGGCUCAACCAUUGUAUGCAUUGGAAACUGGUAGACUUGAGUGCAGGAGAGGAGAGUGGAAUUCCAUGUGUAGCGGUGAAAUGCGUAGAUAUAUGGAAGAACACCAGUGGCGAAAGCGGCUCUCUGGCCUGUAACUGACACUGAGGCUCGAAAGCGUGGGGAGCAAACAGG
Molecule: ribosomal RNA, 252 nt
Filed under: uncultured bacterium
Lineage: Bacteria
Description: partial 16S ribosomal RNA
Rfam family: Bacterial small subunit ribosomal RNA
Source: RNAcentral